Molecule: signal recognition particle RNA, 296 nt
Filed under: Cebus imitator (Panamanian white-faced capuchin)
Lineage: Eukaryota; Metazoa; Chordata; Mammalia; Primates; Cebidae
Description: Metazoan signal recognition particle RNA (ENSCCAG00000009427.1)
Rfam family: Metazoan signal recognition particle RNA
About the family: The signal recognition particle (SRP) is a universally conserved ribonucleoprotein.
Source: RNAcentral
GCCAGGAGGGGUGGUACGUGCCUGCAGUCUCAGCUACUCGGGAGGCUGAGGCUGGAGAUUCUCUUGAGUCCAGGAGUUCUGGGCUGUAGUGCGCUAUGCCAAUCGGGUGUCCAUGCACUGAGUUUGGGAUCAAUAUGGUGACCUCCCGGGAGCAGGGCACCACCAGGCUGCCUAAGGAGGGGUGAACUAGCCCAGGUCGAGAACGGAGCAGGUCAAAACUCCUGUGCUGAUCAGUAGUGGGAUCGCGCCUGUGAAUAGCCACUGCACUCCAGCAGAGAAUAAGAUGGACCAUAGUU